Long non-coding RNA from Aethalodelphis obliquidens (Pacific white-sided dolphin), 6173 nucleotides. RefSeq lists it as uncharacterized. The record is from RefSeq and is a predicted model, not a curated record. The transcript is spliced from 3 exons. Lineage: Eukaryota; Metazoa; Chordata; Mammalia; Artiodactyla; Delphinidae.
CGGCCUCCGCCUGUUGCGCGCGACGCUUUCCCCGCCCCCAGGUCGACGGCGGAAAAAUCCGCCUUAAAGGGCCAGAGAGCCGGUAGACCGGCGUGCGUGAGGGCAUGCGGGCGGCCCGCGCCGGGGUCACGCGUUUCCGGUCCCCCGCCUUCCCAGGACAAGCGCUCCCUGAGCGCCGGCGGCACGGAGUGGCGGGUGUGGGGCAGGGGCCUGGAACGGGGAUGCCGCGGCGGGGCGGAGGCGGUGCUCCCUCCGCGUGUGUCCCCAAGGUAUUUGGGCCCCCAAGUCAGUUUCUCUGGCUGCCGAGGGCAGAGCUGGCCGGGAGAGCUAGGUGCGGAGGCCGUGGGUGCCAUGGCGACCGGGAACCCGGAAGCCACCUGCCUGGCGUUGGACAGGCGCUGGGUCCACUUGUAUGUGUGCUCGUUCUCGCGCGCGCGCCUUUUUUGUGUGUGUUUUUCACUGUGUGCUUGCUUGUGUUUAGUUUUAACGGUGGUCAGUUAGGAGGUAUAGGAGAAAACUCCCGCCGAAGAAUACGUGGUCACACCCAUCUGUAUUCGUGUCACCAAAGUGAAGUCCGAAUUGGCGUAAUCGCGCGAUCCGCGCCAGUAGAGUGGGAAACGUGACCAAGCCCUUCGCGGAGCCCGCACGUGGCUCCCGGGACUGGAUUGUUAUACGGGGCGGGGCGCGCUGUCGGCCCCAGUCACGGACUGGGUCUCCCUCCUCCCGGGGCAGAAGGUGAGCGCACCUGCCCUGGGGACACCUGUUCUUGAGGUGAGAGCUGCUGAGAGUGUGGCAUCUGGCCGCAGGCCCCUGGGAAGCGCGCGGCUGGAGUGAACAUCCAAGAAUGUGACCGCGUUGGGGGACGGGGCGGGGGGCUCAUCCUUCUCCCAGGAAGGUUUCUUUUUCCUCUCGGACCUUGACCCGCGACCCCACCGGCCGCCGCUCUCUCUUGGCGAUUCUCAGCUCCGCCUGCACGUUAGGAUGAACUGGAGCGCUUUUCAACUCCUCAGAGCUGGACGCUGCCACCGGAAAGGCUCAGCUGCUGCGCUGUGGGGCCCGAGCAUUCCUGUUUUUCAGAGCUUCGCGGGUGAUUCCUGCCGCCAGCCACCGGUUCCAUUAUGGCUCAGCGUGGCACUGCUCCCAGCCCACAGACUGAAGCAGACACCUAAUUACAAUUGCUACCUAACCACGACCUUCUUAUCUCAUUGAGGACUCUGAGAGGCAAGUUUCUCCCUAUUCUUUUAUAGAAACAUAAAAUGCCAGCAAAGCAUGAUUUCUACCCAAAAGAGCGCUAAACAGAGCUUGCAGAUGUUUCAGGCCUCUCCCCUGAUACUUCAGGGGAGAAGGGCACACAGACCUUGGCAUACCUUGCUUCAAAAACAGGCAAUAGCAAACAGCGUGUUCAUUCCACCUACUUCCCAGAAGGGAAGAUCCUUAUGUAAUGGGUCAGAUGGGCCUUUGGUCCCAUGUGGAGAGUCUCCCUGAGGGACUUUUAUAUUACUGUAUCAUGGGGGUUUUGUGGGUAUUCGUUUCUGCAUGUCAAGCACUUCACAGUACACAUUCACAUGGAAAUUACUAAUUAAAAGUAGCAGUGAUUAUAACAUUUAGAGUGCUGUUUUCAUCAAUGGUUUCAUUUUGCAUAGGACACCUCCUUUGCUGAAACCAUAGAUUCUAAUUUGCUCUGUCAAAGUUAUCACUAGAAAAAUAAGAUAUUCUUAGCAUGUAAACUAUAGGAAAUUUCCUCUAUUACUCUUCUCCAUUUGAUUUAAUGGACUAUAUGUUACUUUCAACAUAUAAGUUGGGACAUCACAAAAUAAACUGAACCUAUGGCAAAUUUGUUUCUGCAGAAAUCUGUGUUCUUUCUAGUUACCCAAAAACUCAAGAGACCAAGGGGGGAAAGGAAUUAUUUGAAUGGUGGAUAGUGCAUAAGACUUAGGUAUGGUUGCAGUAAUUUAGCAUAAUCCAUUGUAAGGUGAUGGUCUGGACGAACUUCAUAACAGUGAAGAAGUUAGCUUUGAGGUUUUUUUUCUCUAAUUGAAGGAAUGCCGCUCACUACACCUCCCCCAUAUUGUUAUUUAUUUAUUUAUUUUAAUUUUUAAUUUUUUGGCCUCACCGUGCGGCAUGUGGGAUCUUAGUUCCCCAUCCAGGGAUCAAACCUGCGCUCCCUGCAUUGGAAGCACAGAGUCUUAACCGCUGGACCACCAGGGAAGUCCCUUCCCCAUAUUUUUAGAUUAAUGUCUUUACCAGAGAAGUAAAACACACUGGGAUUACAUAUCCUUGUCUAGUAAGAAGUCUGACUACUCCAAGACCACCAUGUGGUGAGGGAUGUCUAGCCAGACCCAGAUGUUCCAGCCUUCGCAGACCAGGCACCUGACGUAGGAGUGAAGAAGCCACUGUGGACAUUCCAGCCUCAGGAGACGUGACAUGGAGAGGAGCCCAGCCAACAGCCAGGACAGACACUCCAGCUGUGUGGCCCUGUGUGAGCCAUCUUGGCCAUGUCCAGUUGCUAGAUGCACUCCCGCUGAGGCCCCAGCUGUCCUGGAAAAGGGAUGAGUGGUCCCCACUGUGCCCUGCCUCACCCAUAAAAUUGUGAGUGUUAGAAAAUGACUGUUGUUUAAAAAUGCUGCAGGGGAACAGAAACUAGAAGCAGAGGCAUAAAAGAGAAUAGAGAAGACUGAAAAAUAAAAAAUAAUUAUAACAGUUUUCAAAUUGUGAUUGUUGGUGCUCUCAAUUCAACUUUUUCAUUCAUUUAUCUGUUCAUUCAAGAAAAAUGUAUCGAGACCACCGCAAGCUAGGUAUUAUACUUAGUGCCAGGGAUACCAAAAAGCUGAAUAAAAUAGCUCUGUCCUCAGGGGAGUGGCUAGCUUAAUGAGGGUGUCAAACAAUCGCCACACAAUGUGAUACAAGGCUGCUUUACAGAAGGAACUCAUGCACUGAAGAUGUAGAAUCUCACAGCCUUGAGGGAGUCAGAGAAUCAGUGCCCAGGAGGACAUGCUUGAGUUAAGCCUCAAAGAAUGAGUAGAGGUUUACCAGAUGGCCAAGGUGGGACAGCGCAAACCAAUUGCAAAGAACAGGGUAGACUCAUUUUGAACAUUGGCUUCAGCUGCGUCUGUGGUCUCAGCUUUUCUCUGCCUCUCCUGGGCAAAGCAUUGAUUGCAUAAACAAAGUAUUAUUUUCAGAGGAGUAUUUGAUUUUAUCUACGUAGUAAGUACAACUGGAAUGAAACAACUCAUGGGGUGUAUGGCAUUACUCAACCUAGGCUCAUCAAAUGAGCACCCUACAGAGGCCAGGUCUAGUCGCUAGAAGGGACAAGGCCUUACCCGCCCCCCAAAUGUAACCUAAGUCGUUGGGUUUUUCUCCAAGUGUUCUUUCUAUUCAAAUAUAACUCUUAAGGCAAGUUCCCUGGCCCCUACCUCCAUCCAGUUUGCUGUCCUAAUCCCUUCUGAUAGAAAAGUUCUAGAGGUACUUCAGGGUGGAUGCCAUGCUAUGAGUAUAAAAAUCGAUUUGUCUCCAGAACAGGACAAUAGGGCCAUCAUGAGAAAAAAUUCAUGUCCUAAAGUCUAUGAUCUUUGUUUCUAGAAGGCAAACCUGGUUAAAAAGACAUCUUCAAACUUUUCCGUGCUGUCAAGUUUAAUGAAACUCCUCCUUCUAAUAUCAACUUCAUUUGAGGAAGCUGCUGUCAAAAAGGCUACUAGGAGAUACUGAGGGGAACACGUUAAAUCAUUGCAAGAAAAUGGUUCUAACUUCAGUAAGGCAACUUUAAGAGAAUAAAACUGAAAUAUCUUAAAUGUACCAAGAUGUCACACAAGGGAAACAAAUGGAAAUAUGGAAAUGCUGGGAGGAAAGGCACAUUGGCAUGAUUAAGAAAAAUACAAUUGAAAGCAUCUAAUGUGUUUUUUUUUAAACACUCUGCCUUGUUCUAAGUGGAUUUGGCAGUGAGUUAUUUCCUGGGCAAGUGUAGAGGGGAGCUCUCUUAUGAAACUAGUUAAGUGCAGACCACAUGCUUUUACAGUCUUUGGAGCUGGGAGUAGAGCUGGCAUCUGCUUUAGAAAACCAGGAGAGAAAGGCACUUCCACCCCCACUUGGAGGUGAUUGAAGGAAGCACUAACAGUGGGAUGAGAAAGAUUUUAGAUUUCCCGUAACACUUAGACAAAUGGAAGUAAAUAAACCAUUAAAUGGCAGAGAAAAAUAACCGUCCCAAGAAGGCAAAAGGAAACCCCUAGUCUCUCUUAAAACUGCAGCCUUUUUCCUAGAACUUGUCUCAGAAAGUUUGUCUCUGAUGUUUGCUUUGGAAUUGUAGCCACAGGGGACGUUUGGGGCCAGAACUGACCUGUCCAGUGAGCAUUAAUUGCCCUGAUGGUAUGGUAAACUAACACCUUUUCGGGUUUUUUUUAGAGCAUUAUUUCAACUAAAUUCGCAUUUUCAUCUCAACGGACUUACUUGGCAGAAAGAAACCUAGAUGUUGUGAGAAGAGAGAAGGUGGGAGAAGAAUUCAGAAGGAGUAGAAAAAGACACCUAGAAGAGACACUGGGUAGUUUACUACAAUGGUACUGACUAUACCAGUACCAUUGAAUGCUCUACUUACUAAAAAAUCCGGAUUAUAAUGUUCUGAAGUUGGGAAUGAGAGAAGUCAAGUUGUUCCACAUCAAAUCAGGUAUAAUAGUUAUUCUUAACUUUUUUUGUUUACAUACAUCAUUGAGAAUAUGAUGAUAAGGGUAGACUCUAUGUCCGGAAAAAAUGUACAUAUUACUUACACACAGAAUCCUCUUCUAUAAGAACUAGUCAUAAUACUCAAGAUAGAAUCCAAUUAGUUACAACACACAAAUAUAUAAUCCUGUUCACUUGACCAUCAUAGACUUUCUUGCAUCUAACCUAGUUUCAUUCUAGAGUUUAAGCCUCUCUCCACUUUUUCUGUCCUCUUAGCUUAAGACAAGAUCAUUACAGAACUCCUUGUAUAAAAUUUUCAUAUGUGCUUGCAAAGGGCUAUGAAAUUUUAUCAUGAUCAUUCUUGAAGUUGAAACUUCUCUAAUCUUUUCUUACAGAUUGUUCGUUACAGAGAGUGCUUUCAAUAUCCAGUUUCAAUAUCUAGUUCUUCCUUCUGCAUUAGUCACUCAGCUAUAUGAUUACAUUUUCUGAGCCUCCCUUGCAGCUCUGUGUGGCCAUGUGACUAAGCUUUAAACCAAUGAUAUGUAAGCACUGUACUAUGUGGAUCUUCUGAAAAAUCUCCCUUCUCCUCCUUCACACUACUGUCUGGAAUGAAGUCACAAUAGAUGGAGACCAAUAACCAUCCUGGGCCAUGAGUUUGAGAUGUGAUGGAGAAGACUGUCUGUUGACUCCCCUAUUAGAAGAUAAAUUUCAUGAGAACAGGGACCUUGUUUCUCUUGGUCAAAGCAACAUUCUCUGAACCUAAAAAGUGUCGCCUGUGGUAAGGGCUCGGGUAUUGAACAGCUACUAAAUGAAUAAGAUGAAUGAAUGAAGGAGUUUACUCCAGAACCAUGUAAAACACUAAUCAUAAAGUUCUCCCAGGGAAUGUUCAGCCAUCAGUAGGCAUAUGCAAGGUGUCAGAUUCUAUCACAGAAUCAAACUCUUGCUUAAUUCAAACCACAUUACUUCUCUUUGCUUCCUUUUGCUCUCCCAGACUUGCCGCUGUCAUAAAAGGAUACAGUUUUUUCUUACUGCCCUCCAAUGUUCUCUUAAAACAAAAUAUUUUCAAAUCUAUUUUCAUAACGAUGCUUCCUAGUAUUUUUUUCUGCUUAGCAAGUUAAAAAUUCUUUAAUUUUCAAGGUCACACCUACCUAUUUUUGUAUGCGUCUGCUGUUAAAUGCAGACACUAUUUUGAAACGAUCUUAGGCGUUGUCUCAAGUCUACAAGAAUCAUCCAAAAUGGUAUCUAAUGACAUUCCUAGGACUUCAGACAAUAUUAUUAUUGUCAUGGAAUGUAGUCACUAGGUCCUAAGGAUUUAACAAGAUGUUGUUUACUGAAACUGAACUUCAUUGAAUCCUUUCCCAUUCCACCGUGGUUUCCCACAUUUCAAUCUGUUGCCUGUUUUUGUCCCCAAACCUUACUUUUGUCCCCAAAUCUUUUAAACAACUAAAUUAAAUAUUAAUCAUCCUUGCUUCCCUGAUAUUCGAGGUGACCUUUUCCUCCUGGUAUCCUUUUAAUAAAGAAGAGUA